CUUUCUCCGCCGGCGACCGGCGCACGGGUGAGUAACACGUAUGCAACCUGCCCCUGUCAGGGGGACAACCCACCGAAAGGCGGGCUAAACCCGCGUACAUGCCACCGGGGCAUCCCGGAGGCAGGAAAGGCUUCGGCCGGACAGGGAUGGGCAUGCGGCGCAUUAGGCAGUAGGCGGGGUAACGGCCCACCUAACCGACGAUGCGUAGGGGUUCUGAGAGGAAGGUCCCCCACACUGGUACUGAGACACGGACCAGACUCCUACGGGAGGCAGCAG
Molecule: ribosomal RNA, 276 nt
Filed under: uncultured bacterium
Lineage: Bacteria
Description: partial 16S ribosomal RNA
Rfam family: Bacterial small subunit ribosomal RNA
Source: RNAcentral